RNAcentral lists this ribosomal RNA (297 nucleotides) under uncultured eukaryote. RNAcentral's name for it is "partial 18S ribosomal RNA". It matches the Rfam family "Eukaryotic small subunit ribosomal RNA", at positions 1470 to 1795 of the family's 1831-position model. The record is from RNAcentral.
CCCUUAGAUAUUCUGGGCUGCACGCGGGUUACAAUUAAAAUUGUAUGUUGUUUUGUAUUUUUAAUGAAAUUAUGAAAUCGAUAGUAUUUUACUGAUUUAGAAUUGUUUAUUGUUAUAAUAAAUAUGAAUUUGGAAUUACUUGUAAAUAUAUUUAAUCAAAUUAUAUUGAAUAAGUCCCUGCCUUUUGUACACACCGCCUGUCGCAUCUAGUGAUUAGUUUAAUUUGUGAAAAUGUUUUGUGAUAAUAGAAUUGUAUAUUUUUUAACGGAUUAAACCAGAACCAGAUCAAGUCAUAAC